AAAUAAAUGGUUUCAAAUCACAACUUUUUUUAAAUAAAAAAUUAUCAAUCAACAAAUAUUUAGCUCUUAUCGUUCAAAGAUUUUAAUGUUUAAUUUUUAGUUUUAUCUAAUAACAUCAUUGAAUUGAUAUUUUGACCACCUAUUUAUUUAUUUGUUUGUUUUUUUAAGUAAGAGAAUUUUUAUAGAUUGAGUGUCUUUCCAAGAAAUUUGGUACCUAUGAUAAAAUUAUAUAUAUCUUAUAGAAAUCCAUCUAGGAAUGAUUUCAUAAAAGUUUUAAAUUGAUUUCCAUGUUUCCAUCACUUCAUUCAUAGUUGACUACUUAAGAAUGAUUUUAGUCUAAAAACGCAAAAAAUUUUUUAAAAAAAAAAAAAAAAAAAAAAAAAACAGAAAAAGAAGAUAACAAAGUGUCUUUUUGUUGGAUUAUGAAGCCUAAACGAGUCUUGUUGUACUAUGCAAAGACAUAUUAGGGUCAAGAUGAAGUUUUUAUUUUUUAUUGAAUGAAGUUUUAACCCUAUUAUGAUUUAAGGUUUUUUUUUUAGAGAGAAAACUUAGAGUGCAACUACAACUGCAACUAAGAAGAGAGUGAAAGAGUCUUCCAUUGUAACUUUUCUCUUUUGUUUGAUUGGUGUAUUUUUUUUAGUGAUGGUGUGCUCUGUGGAUGUAGGGAUCACAUUGAUCAUUGGAUUAUUUUAAAAAAUUUGUUGUCAUUUCUUUAUUUUAGCUUGUGUAUGUGAUUUGGUUAAUACUUUGAUCAACUUAGUUUAUAGUUAAGAAAUAUAUGUAUUAUGAAAGAAGAUAAAAUCAACUUUGGACCACAUAAAGGUGAGUCCAAACGAAGGUAUUUUAUUUUAAAAAUUAUGAUUUAGAUAGAAAAUUUUUCCAAACAAUUAUUGGUCUUUGGUUUCACAUCUAAGUUGUAGAUGGUUAAUGAGUAAUAUACUAAUCAAAUAAGUCUAGUUGAAGUGAAUCAUAUUGAAAAGGAAAAAUUUACACUACAAAAAUAUUAAUUUGAUUCAUAUUUUGAACCACACAGCAUAUAAGUGAUUUUGCAUAACUUAGCACAUAUCUAAAAGUACACAAAAUAAUAAUAAUAAUAAUAAUUUGGUUUUUUUAUGCAAAUGAUGUCAUCACUUCCUUGGUCUUUAGAGAGUUACAAAACUUUGAAAGUUAGAGAGAAGUCUUUUUCAUAUCUAAAAUUAAUUAAAGACAAGUCUUGAACAUAAUUGGUGGGUCAUUUUUUUCUUGGGAGUUAGUGACUUUCUAGUUUUUUUUAAUGAGAGGACGGGAUCUUUCUAAUAAUGAAUUUGAUGAUUAAUCUAGACUAUGCUCUUACUUUCCUAGCCUUGAGUUUGAAAUAAAGGUAAAGAAUAUUUUAUUUUUUCUAAGAUGUUACAUUAAAUCUUAAUCAAGCCAAGAAUAUAAUAUAAAUAUUUUUUACUCAUUUUUAAUAUAUACCAUCAAAACCUUAUCAACAACAAUAAAGAAAAAGAAAUAUAUGAGACCCUUAAUUCAAGUAAUAAAAUUCUAUGAAAGUAGUUUUUCCAAUAGAAUAAAGAAAAGUAUGUAAAUAAAAUUUAUCAUUUUGUUGACUUAAUAAUUCAUGUGUUCAACAAGAAGACUUAUCAAAUAUGCUAAAAUCGUAGUAGUUUUUUCAAUACAAGAAGGAAAAGUGUGUAAAGAGAAUUUGUCAUUUUGUUAACUCAAGAAUCCAUGUGUUCAACACAAAGACUUAUCAUAUAUGCCUAAAUCAUAUUAGCUUUUCCAAUAUAACAAGGAAAAGUAUGUAAACGGAAUUUAUCAUUUUGUUAACUUAAGAAUCCAUGUGUUCAAUACAAAGACUUAUCAAAUAUGUUAAAACCGUAGUAGUUUUUCCAAUAGAACAAGGAAAAACAUGUAAAAAUAAUUUAUCAUUUUGUUGGCCCAAGAAUCCAUGUUUUCUACAUAGACUUAUCAAAUGUGCUAAAACCACAAGCCUAGACUUAUCAUUGAUGCUAAAACCAAUAAGAGCUUUUGAUAAUAACAUAUAAUAUUUUAUAUCUCAAAUACAAUAGUUUUUUUUUAAUAUUAACUAAAUAACAACAACUAAUAUCAAUAGAAUUAUUUCCAUUAGUUUCUAUUAUAAUUAAAAUGUCUCAAAAGAGAAAUUACAAACUGAAAUAUAGACUAAUCAAUAAUGCUAAAAUAAACAAUAAUAUUACACAUUUUAUACCUAAGUUAUAAUAAAAAUUUAAUACAAAAAUAUUGGAUGAAUGAGAAAAAUAAAAAAAAUAUAAGUAAAUUAUAUUAAUAAAUUUUCUCAAAAAAGAAAGUUAAUAAUUUUCAUUACUCAAAUUAUUUUAAUGUUUAAAAUGUAUUCAUGUGGCUUAAGUUAAGUAACGGGUUAAAAAUACCUUUAAAUAGGUUAAAUAGCAUUGUCCUAAGCAGCCUUGGAUUAGUUUCAAAUGUGAAGUUCUUAAUAAUUGGAGGUGACUCUUUUAGCAAACAUAGUAGUAGAAAAACAUUUUAAGAAACUCCAAAAACUAUACUUCAUGUGGGGAGCUUUCUCUCAUUGUUGGAAGAAUUAGCAAUCUUUGACUCACAAAUUUUAGAAACAACAAAAUUUGAGGUAAUAUUCCUUACUCCAUGAGUUGUUUAUUUGCACUCAUGCAACAAUAACUUCUUUGAAAAUAUAUUCUCAAUGCUAAGGAACUACACAUUUUUGGGGCUCCUAUGUUUGGGCAAUAAUAAAUUUUUGAGAAAUACUCUAAGUUGAAUUGGAGAACUGACAAGUAUAGUGGAUUUCCAUUUGAGAUAUAACAAAUUUAUCGGCUUUACUUUGAAUGAUGUGAUAUAGUCGAAAUGUGAAUAUCAACCGCACAUUUGGAACCCUUAGUUGCACACUUGCACCCAUCACGAUUCACGUCUCAAUCCAUACCAGAUGUUACUGUUUUCCCAUUUGCCUUAGAAAAGAGAAAAACCAGUGCAAGUGGAGAAAACAAAGGAUCAUCGUUAGACCAGGUCCAAAUGGUUAGGGCAAUGAUGAAGCAGACAUUGCACCCCAUCUUCCAAAGUGACGAUCGACAAUGACAUGCAUCAAGACCCUUGACUAUACUCUUUUUUUUCUUUAGUCUUUGGCAGUUUCCUCUUUUUCCCUUCACUAUGUUCCACCCCCCCCCCCCACACCCCCCCCUUUUUUUUUUAAUGUUUUGAAAUAAGAAACUGCUAUGUUUAUAUGAGAGAAUUAUUAAUGAAAAUAACGCUUUUGUUGAUUGGAGUUUACUUUGAAAAAUGUAGCAUGACUAGCUGUCUCGUUAUUGUUUUUUCAAUUAACAAAAAAAUAAAAAUUGCACCCCGUUUGGAUCAUUUGAUUUCGCCAUUAGACACCGAUGCAUAAGGGACCGGCUGACACGGAUUUGAUUUUUCAACACAAGCGGCUAAGGUCCUGUUCCUAACACACAUACACACCAAAAAGAAAAGUAGAUUGAUCCCCGCCACAAUGUUGAUACGAAGCAUUUAUUUUUUAACAGGGUGUACUUAUUUUUUAGCAUGAUGGAGUUCAUUUGUAACUAGUAUCCUUUGAUUGAAUAAGAUGUGACCACUUCAUACAUGCCUUGACAAGGUAAAUUGAAAGAUUAUGCAAUAUCGAGGUAUCUUAGGCCAUGUAGAAAUUAUGAAUGUAAGAACUUUUCUAACAAAGUGAUGGUUGAAAAGUCAAAAAUACAAAAUUAAGAUCACAUGUCAAAAGGAUUGGAAAAAUUCAAAGAAUUUUAAUGGUCAAAUAAGUGAAUUGAAUUUGAAUACAAGGAUGACACAAAUUCCCAACAACAUGGAAAUACUUACUAUUUCUUUCUUAAAACAUUUAAAAUAUGAAUACAAGGAUGCUACUUUUUUCUUUCUUACUAUAUUUAUGUUCACAGAUUUGUGGAACUUUAUAUUUAUAUUUAGAAAGCUACUAUCAACUUGAACAUAAUCUCAUUGUCAAACCCAUUUAAUUGCAUCAAAGGUUUCAUAUUGUUCUCCUACUCAAUGCAAAUCGAAUUUCAAUCCAAUUGAGACAUCACAGGGAAAGUUUCACGCCCAACACUUGGUUCAUGAAUUUCUACACACAUGGAUACAAAGGCAAACCUAUACAUGUAAUCAACUUAUUAUAAGAGAAAUUAUGACUGGUUUCUAAGUAGCUUUAGCAUGAAUUUUAAAAGAAAAACCAUAGACCUAAGUUCUAACCAAUUAUUUUCCGAAUGCAUCUUUGUUUACCUUUUUUUAGUUUCAUAGGUUUAAAGCAUUAGCCAAAAAGCACAAUGUAUAGUAUAAAUCCUUAGCCUCCUCAUCCCAUCUGAGCUUUUCUCUGCUCAUGAGAUAUCUAAAUCAUUGCCAAUAUCCAAGUCUUAACUAUCAUCCAAAAUGUUGCCAAUUAGUUUACCUAAAAGUCUUAACUAUCAUUCAAAAUGCAAAGACUUUGACUCAUUGGUGAACACAUCCAAACAAACUUCUCAACAAUUUUGAUAUUUCUAUAAACUUGAAUUGAUGUGAUACAUGAAAAAGACUAUGAAUAAUAUGGUUUACCAAACUUUGAAAUGUUGUUAAUUAGUUUACCUGAAAGUCUUAACUAUCAUCCAAAAGACAACUUUAUUGAUUAACUUCCAUUCUAGAAUUAAUUUACUGUAGAAUUAAUUUUGAUGAUGAUUAAUGUGCAUUUUAUUUGCAGCAUAAGUGUAAUCUCAUCAACAUGAGUUAUGGAGAACAAUAAUGCUUGAAUAUGGACAAUUCGUUUGCCUUGUUAGUGAAGUAUGAAUUUCAACUCUAUUAGUUCACCAUUUUUUUUUAUAUAAUUAUUAACUCUUUAUAAGAUAAUUUUGGAGUAUAAUUGAAGUAUAUUUAGAAAAUCUCUUAAAGUAGAACACAAGCAAAAACUUGAUCAUUUAUACACUCAAAUUAACUAAUGAAUUAUUAAGAAGUCAAGUUUUAUUUUAUUUUAUUUUUCUUUUUAACAAUUUCAUUUUUAUAUGUUUUUAUAAAUAUUUAUUUGCUUUAAUCAUUUUUUUGGGAACAAUCCAUCUAAUAUUUUAUGUUGAUAUUUUUAUUGAUUAAUGUAUCAUUUAUAUAGCAUUUGAAAAUAAUAUAAAAAUAUUUUGGUUAUGAGUUAAGGUUAAAUUUGUAAAAGAUAAAUUUUUAUUUAAAUUUUCAAUAAUAUUAAAUAUUAUGUUUUUCUAGUCACAUUCAUGGUGCUAUUGUAAAAUAAAUGGUUUCAAAUCUCAACUUUGUUUAAAUAAAAAAAUUAUCAAUAAGCAAAUAUUUAGCUCUUAUCGUUCAAAGAUUUUAAUGUUUAAUUUUUAGUUUUAUCUAAUAACAUCAUUGUAAUUAAUAUUUUGACCACCUAUUUAUUUAUUUGUUCGUUUUUUAAGAAGUAAGAUUUUUUAAAGAUUUUGAGUGUCUUUCCAAGAAAUUUGGUACCUAUGAUAAAAUUAGGUAUAUCUUAUAGAAAUCCAUCUAGGAAUGAUUUCAUAAAAGUUUUAAA
Molecule: long non-coding RNA, 5494 nt
Filed under: Vitis vinifera (wine grape)
Lineage: Eukaryota; Viridiplantae; Streptophyta; Magnoliopsida; Vitales; Vitaceae
Description: long non-coding RNA (VVIN_LNC001519)
Source: RNAcentral